This 403-nucleotide ribosomal RNA is filed under the name uncultured bacterium. Its description in RNAcentral is "partial 16S ribosomal RNA". It matches the Rfam family "Bacterial small subunit ribosomal RNA", at positions 28 to 526 of the family's 1533-position model. The record is from RNAcentral.
GACGAACGCUGGCGGCGUGCUUAACACAUGCAAGUCGAGCGAGCGGCGGACGGGUGAGUAAUGUAUGGGGACUGCCCGAUAGAGGGGGAUAACCACUGGAAACGGUGGCUAAUACCGCAUAUUGCCGGAUAACCCAUAUGGGAUUAGCUCGUAUGUAAGGUAAUGGCUUACCUAGCCGACGAUCCCUAGCUGGUCUGAGAGGAUGAUCAGCCACACUGGGACUGAGACACGGUCCAGACUCCUACGGAGGCAGCAGUGGGGAAUAUUGCACAAUGGGCGCAAGCCUGACGCAGCCAUGCCGCGUGAAUGAAGAAGGCCCUAGGGUUGUAAAGUACUUUCAGUCGGGAGGCGUUACCGAAAGAAGAAGCACCGGCUAACUCCGUGCCAGCCGCCGCGGUAAUAC